GGGGGCGAUCUGGAUUCGACCGGACGUUUUGAAGCGAUGGUUGCAUGUCGUGGUUGAUCAGUUGGCCACGUAAAAAGCUGAUCAAAAUUUUUAGUUGCAGACGAAAGUUUCGCACUGGCCGCCUAAGAACAGGCAGCCCGGGCUGAUGGGGGCCGCCAGAGUCGCCUGAAUGCCCGUCACAAUUCUGGAUCGCUUGCCGUCCUACUCGAGACGCGGUGAGUUAAAAAAGAUUCGAGUUAGCAAAGCUUGGAGCCUGUCAGGCAGCGCCAAGGUGAGCGAAAAGUUUCCUUCGAGGAGACACAAAUAGUUUGACUAAACAUGUAGACGCUGUCGUGGAUGCAUCGCGGGACGCGGGUUCAAUUCCCGCCGCCUCCACUA
Non-coding RNA from Rhodopirellula maiorica SM1, 378 nucleotides. It matches the Rfam family "transfer-messenger RNA". Rfam says of the family: Bacterial tmRNA, also known as 10Sa RNA or SsrA, is named for its dual tRNA and mRNA-like properties. Its role is to liberate the mRNA from a stalled ribosome. Lineage: Bacteria; Pseudomonadati; Planctomycetota; Planctomycetia; Pirellulales; Pirellulaceae. The record is from Rfam.